Molecule: non-coding RNA, 117 nt
Filed under: Gorilla gorilla gorilla (western lowland gorilla)
Lineage: Eukaryota; Metazoa; Chordata; Mammalia; Primates; Hominidae
Source: Rfam by way of RNAcentral
GCCGGGUGCGGUAGCUCACGCCUGUAAUCCCAGCACUUUGGGAGGCCGAGGCGGGUGGAUCACCUGAGGUCAGGAGUUCGAGACCAGCCUGGCCAACAUGGUGAAACCCCGUCUCUA